AUUAUCGACUUUAGCGACUUUAUGUGUCCAUUCGCGCACAUCUCUACUUGACAUACGAAGUCCGAAAAGGAGAGGAAGUGGGUGUUUGUGUGUUAUUAUUGUCGAACAAUGGAAAGUCGCCCGUGCAUUGGAGGUGUAUGAUCUCAUAAAAAAGGAUUUGAAUCGUUUGAAUGAUAUCGUAAUUUUUCUCCUCUGCAAUAAAUUUUUCAUUGUGUCAUGCGGAUCUGUGUCACGGAGUGACAGGACUUGAUUAUUUGGGCGAGAAAAGAAUUGUAUUGUUAGAAAUCAAGACCUGGGUGUUAGUUUUCUCCUUUGUUUAUCUGACUGCAUUGGUGAACUUCUACAAACAUUAAAGGCGAAUUACUUUUGUAGGUUGUGCCAUGCCGGCAGCAGCUAAAUUAAGGAAAUAUGAAGAACAUAACGUACGCAGUUUGAGAAACAAGAUGUUGAAAUCUGCAUGUGGAUAGACAGUACAGUAUUGUAACAUUUCGCAGACGUGAACAAGUUGUCAGUAUAGCUCUGUUGCAGGAUAUGUUGUAAUGUUGAAUGGCAGUGUAUACGGACUCCCACUGACAGUGAAUUCAAGAAAUAUCAGUCUAGGGCUGUAUUUAUACUAAGCGUGCAAAUACUCAGAAGAAGUGCAGAUUAAAAUGUCACCAAGACCUGGUAUGCCUCCAGGCACGAGUACUGACGCACCACCUUCACCGCCUCCCAAUGAACCGCCGUCACCGAGACAGAUGAAAUGUGCUGAAGGGUUGCCAGAGCCUCCUGGUCUAAAUGAAGUUGAGAUAAUUCUCAGACCUAAUCGUACUUUAAUGGGAAGGAAUUGCACAGUCGUUAAAUCAUUAAAAUUGAGAGCUACACGUUACCUUCGAACGACGAUUAAUGCUUCAAUUGAUCACUUGAAGGAGUACUUGCAGUAUUGUUUGUCACGUGACCUGCAAUGUGAUAUUAAAGUGGCAGACAUGUCUAUUUAUGUACAACCAGCACCUCAUGGUCCGAUGAUAGAAGUUAAGGGAACCCAGACAAUCCGUUGUGUCCGGUACAAGUACUGGAGGUUUAGCUUAUCACCUAUUACACUUUAUUAUUGCUGCAAGAAAGGCUGAUUUCACAGUAUUCACCAACAUUUUUCAGGCAUGAAUGUACAGUAAUGAAAAAAGGACUCUGAAAUGGAUAUUGAGACAACCCAUAAUUUAUUUAUAAAAUGAUGAGCAAUAAAAGUGUUUAUAUUAUGGUUAUGAAAACUAGAAUUUUGAGAGAUUUCACACGUGAAAAGAUUUGAGCAUAUGUGAGACAACUUGGGAGCACACGGAAUUUGGCUGUGCAUUAGAGAUUGUCAGUAGUGAUAAACUGUAAGUAAGUUUAAGUUAUCUUGCUAUAUUUCAUCAGCUGCAAGGAAUGUAAGACCUAUUGAUUUGUAUAAAGAAAGUGGUCUCUUGUACAUAAUUACUAGUCAGAAUUCAUAUAUUACUGGAAAAUAUAUUAUUUGAAACCAAACAUAGAACACUUGACACAGUCUAGUUACCCCCAAGACUAAACAUAUGCCAAGUUAAAUAUUUCUGUAACAGACCUCAUCUAAAUGCUUUCUUCACUUCUUGAAACUAGACUAGUUACCUUAUAUCCUUUUUCCUUGAUUUUCAUUCUUUUCUUCCCUCCUUCAAUUCCUUUUAUCUGAUCUUUUAACCUGUUGUAGGUAAUGAUAUUCCAUAUUUGUUUGGAACCAUAACUGUAGGGUCAUGUAGCAGCAAUAAUAUAAGGCCUUGAUGACAACAGAAACUGUCAUUGACUGCUUUAAGGUAACUUUACUGAUUCAAAUUUCAGUGCUAUUCAUUCACGACGAGACGAUCCCACACAUGCAUAACAGUAAAACCCUUUGUAGUCACAAUUUCUACUGGAAGAGACAAGACUGACUAUAGGAAGUGAGAGAGAUAAUCUGUAACAUAUCUUGCUCUGCUGUGACAAUUGAGAGACUGUACAUGUCAGCUGUUGACUAAAUUUAAAAAAAAAAAAAAAAAAAAAAAAAAAAAAGCAACCCCAGUAAAUGAGAAUAUUUGAAUAUUUGCUGCUCACUGAAAAGUAUUUUAUCAAAGCAAUAUUUGCAGUCUAGGAAUAUAACACUGUUGUGUUAUAUAAUAGUCCAGUGUAGUCAUUUACUUCCUAAAAGUGCAUAUGAAAUCUAAUGCUUAACAGUAAUCCAAAUAAUAUCCAUUUAAAAUCUAGAAUCUUGUGCAAGUAGUUAGGUGGUUAUACAUUACAAUAGCUUUCUGCACAUUUUGUAUCGACACUCUUUGUUGUCAUCGCAUUAAUAAAAGAUGCGCUCAUACAACUGUAGUGUGCAUUUUCAAAUAUUUUAAUGUAAUUUUUAAGCAUAUUAAUGGAGAAAAUUGUAACAGACUGAAGUCCCACGUUAAUAUUAACAACUUUAGAAACUCUCUCUUCCUAUCCUGUCAUUCAAUAUUACUAGAUUUCUUAAUACUGAAUGAGUCAUCCACAGUGUGUGUAGCACAUCAGUAACCAUGUAUUCAAUGGUUAAACAGUAGGCAGUCAGCUUUAAGAAGUGAUUGUGCCUCUGUUUAUGCAGUCCUUAUAAUGAACGGUGGUUGUUUAUUGUUCUGUCCAAUCAUGGUACUCUACUACAUGCACUGGCUGACUGUUAAAACUGUGCAUAUUCUGUUAGUGGGUGAUGCAUGUUUCUUAAAUUUAUCUUUUCAUGGUAUAUUACCAGCAUGAUCAAUCUUGCUGUGAGAACAUUCUCAGAUAAACACUAAAAGUGAUGGAUUUGCAUGUUUUACAUGACCACUGUUUUGUUUUUAACAAACCUAAUUCAAUUUUCAAAGGUCGACAUAUCACGUCUUCUAAAUUUUUCGAUGGUUAAGUUCAGUUUCCAUUUUUUUUAUCAUCCAAGGAAUUAUUACUGAUAAAGUUCUCGAGCCCAAAAGAAGUUACUUCUGGCAUUUAUAAUCAACUGAUAAGAUAUCAGGAAAGUCAUUGUACAUAGGAAGUUCCUCACCUACAAAUAAGUGUUGUGGGCAUGGGGAAAAAAAAAAAAAAAAAAUGAAUUGUGUUCUCUCAUCCAUGUGAUUUUAGAUUUUGAUAGACCAAAUCCAACUUCAGUGAUAAUUCUACAGCAUAUGAGGUUAGACAUACAGCAGGUAGUAUGCAUUUGAUAAUAUCUUGACUAGUGCAGCAUUGGUGCAUUUUUACUUCUGAAUUAUAAUGCAUGUUUAAUACUUUAUUAUUGUGAGUUAGAUAUCUAACUUAAUUUGAACUAGUAUGAGUAAGAUGUGGGUAUGUGUGGGGAAGGGUAUGUGGAAAGAUAGGCUAUUGAAAAUGAUUGUCAUAUGUUAAUCAUUGCAGUUAAUAAGACACAUCAUCUUAUGGGGUAUCCAUUGCAGUACUUCUGGAUGAGUGAUAAUAUCAGUAUGUUUAACAAGCUAAGAGUCAUUUGACUGAACAUUUUGCUUGAUACAGUACUCUGUAAGUAGGCAAGAUUAGAGAAACAGAUGUAUGCAAGCACUCAAUCUGUUGUAAGAAAUUUGAAUUUUACAGCCUUGACAUUUACUUGUAGCUAAACAUGUGAAAGAUAUUAUUAAUACUUACAGAAAUUUACAAACUGAUUGACCAAAAGUUAUGGUAUUAAAAAGUAGAGUUUGAGUCAAAGAACAAUUAUUUAAUUUGAUUGGAUUAUUAGUACACUGAUCAGCUCUAUUAAUUUAAUUUUAGUAAUAGAAACUAGUACAUUCUGAAAUCCACUAUAAUUCCUCUAAGUACUUUCAAAUCUGGUUACUGUGUUCAUUUCUUGUUCUCUCUCUACAAUCUCUCUCCCCCCCCCCCCCCCCCCUACUUACCUCCAGUACUAAAUUGGUGAUCCCUUUAUGUCUCAGAAUGUGUUCUAUUAACCAAUCCCUUCUUUUCGUCAAGUUGAGCAUAAAUUUCUUUUCUCCUCUCAUUAGUUACAUGAUCUACCCAUCUAAUCUUCAGCAUUUUUCUGUAGCACCAUAUUACAAAGUUUUCUGUUCUCUUCAUGUCUAAGCUGUUUAUGAGCUCUGUUUCAUUUCCAUAUAUGACUAUGAUGCAGACAAAUACCUUCAGAAAAGACUUUCAAACAUCUAAAUGUGUAUCUGAUAUUACCAAAGUUCUCUUCUUUAGCAAUGCUUCUCUUGCUAUUGCCAAUCACAUUUUAUAUCCUGUCUAUUUUGGCCAUCGUUCAUUAUCUUACUGCCCAUAUAGCAAAACUUGUUUCCUACUUUUAGUGUCUCAUUUUGUAAUCUAAUUCCAGACUACAUUCCAUUUACUCUUGUUUUGCUUUUGUUGGUGUUAUUCUUAUACCCUCCUUUCAAGAAACUGUCCAUUCUGUUCAACUUCUCUUCCAAGUCCUUUGUUGUCAUUGAUAAACCCUAAAAGUUUUUAUUUCUUCUCCCUGAACUUUCUUUCCAUCUUUGUUAGUUACUCUCAUGUUCCAUGAAUGAUUUUGCACAAUAAAUUAUAAUGCUGUGGAUGGAUUUUACAUUCACAUCGCAAAUUAAUUUGUAAGUGUGCCUACUUGCUGAACAUUUGUAAUUUUUUUUUAAAAUAAUUCCUAUCCCACACAUUUUAAACAUUACAGAAAUAGAAAUUCUUCUGCAGAGUAGGAGGAGUUGUCAAGGAGUAACUUCUUCAGUUUUAUUUUUAAAUUUCUUUGGGGUUGCUUAGACAUUUUAUGUCACUGGGUAAGUGAUCAAAAAUUUUAGCUACUGCAUUAUGCAAUGUUUUCUGUGCUAAAGCCAACUUUAAUAUGAAGUAAUAAGUGUCAUUUUUCCUUCUGGUAUUGUGGUUAUGUACAUAAUUGUUUCUUUUGAACUGCAGUAUGUUAUUUACAACAAACUUCUUGAGGGAAUAAUUAUACUGUGAACCAGUUGUCAGAAUACGUAACUCCUUAAACAGAUAUCUACAAGAUGAUCAUGGGUGAGCACCUCAUGUUAUUCUUAGAGCAUGUUUUCUUUCUUAAAACUUUGUUUCCCCAAAACUUUGUUCCAUAGGACAUCAGUGAAUGAAAAGAUCCAAAAUAUGUCAACUCACUGAUUUAUCUCUCCCAAAGAUUCACUAUGAUUUUAAGUGCAAAAGUGAAGUAAGUUUUUUUGUGCUUCAAUUUUUUCUUUGGUGUCCUUUACUGCUUUCUCAGUGUACAGAUUGAAUAAUAUUGGGGAUAGGGUACAACCCUGUCUCAGUCUCCUCUCAACCACUGCUUCCCUUCCAUGCCCCUUGACUCACAUAACUGCGGUGUGGUUACUGUACAAGUUGUAAAUAACCUUUUGUCCCCUGUAUUUUACCCUGACUGCCUUCAAAAUUUCAAAGCCUUUAUUCCAGUCAGCAUUGUCAAAUACUAUCUUUAAACCUACAAAUGCUAUAAAUGUAAGUUGGCCUUUAUCUUUGAAGGGAAAUUGUAUGGUCAGUAUUGCUUGGGUGUUCCUGUAUUUUUCAGGUAUCGAAAUUGAUCUUCCCGUGAGGUCACCUCCUACCAGUUGUUCCAUUCUUCUGUAAAGAAUCCACAUUAGGAAUUUUUAACCAUGACUAAUGAAACUGAUAGAUUGGUAAUAUUCACAAAUGUAAAUCCUUGUAAAGGUAUUAAAAUUCUGACCUUUUGUGACUGCUUGCUUUCAAGAUUAUUUUCCUUUCCCUGUAAUCAACAUUGCUGUUGCACACUAAUGACUUGGAGGUAGUUGCUUCAAAUCCUUUUGAUGGAAAUUUUCUUCAUCAGCAUUUCACCAACAAAUGUAUAAUCAGACUGUCGAAGUGAAUUAGCUUAAAUUGUGAAUUUGUCAAAGAUUUCCAAUGAAAUGAGAAUAUGUGAUAUUUUUCUUCUCCUGUUUGAAUAGAAUAAACUAAGUGCCACCAUGAGGUUUCAUUUCAUCAUCAUCAUCAUCAUCAUCAUCAUUACAAGCAACAGCAGCAAUCACCACUAACACGUGAUGUUAUAGUGUACAAAACUACUCAGUCACCUGUAAAUAUCUGCAGCAUUUACACCAAAGAUACACAUCAUGUUUUGGCACAGAAACAUGUCUAAAGGGUGACAAAUAAAGAAAUCCUUAUAAAUGUAGGCAGCUGAAUGCAUAGAGCAUCUCAGCCACCAACACUAUGUAACUGCAAUUUUAACAGGUGCAUCUGAAGAAGGAAUGUAGAAGGAUGUGUAAAUAUAGUUGAGACAUAAAAAUUGCAAGCUGGCAAUCAUAUUUCCUGGAAAGAAUAGUGUGCUGAAAUUACGAAAGAUAUUGAAUCAUUAUUUAAGCGAUACUAAAAAUUUUUAAGAAUGACUACAGUUCACAUAACUAUUGAAAAAUCUUGCGGAUUUCAAUUGAUGCCACUUUCCUUCUUCACCCAACAGUCCUAGAAGCUUGGGUUAUUAUUUUAUACUUAAAUAAAUGUUGAAAGAGUUUUUACUUGGCAGAUGGCACUAUAGAUAAUAAUAUAAAAAGGCACUAAAUAUCAGAUUCAGAAAUUCCUUCAUUAGCCAAGUGAAGGGAAUAGGACAGCUGCAUCGUGAAGUAGGAAAGUUGUCAAGGUAAACUGGGCCCGGUAAGAAGAGCAGUUAUUGCUUUAUGAUUGUUGAAUCCAUUAGUUUUGUUGUAAUACAAUGACAUUUUAUGAUUUUUUUACCUGCACUACUAAAGAAACGUGGUAGUUCUAGUAUAAAAAUAUCUUUGUUGCAUAUAGUGUUGCAUGGACCAUGUUAUAUUUUAAUACUUUAUGAAGUUGAUUAUAUUUGUUUAAAAUAGCCUGCUCGGGAACUGUUACAAUUAUAUUUGUAUUCUACACAUUCAUUUCCUUGUUGGUUCCUUGUGACAGCUAAGAGGAAAGAAGCAGUGAUACAUUAAUAUAGAAUGAUUUAAAGACCUUGUAUUGAUUCUUCUGCUACCUAUAGUUACAACAGACUUGAUAGCUGUUCAUAAUUGUUAUGUAGCUCUAUGAAUGCAACUGAGAAAAUGAGUUGAAAUUAUAGAUGAAAUAUGAUGUUAAUUUCAUCUUGGUGUAACAGAAUCAUAUAGAAAUUAAAAGCUUAUUUUGUAUUGAUU
Long non-coding RNA from Schistocerca gregaria, 7049 nucleotides. RefSeq lists it as uncharacterized. The record is from RefSeq and is a predicted model, not a curated record. NCBI's taxonomy places the organism in Eukaryota, Metazoa, Arthropoda, Insecta, Orthoptera, Acrididae. The transcript has 2 exons.